Molecule: ribosomal RNA, 539 nt
Filed under: Colletotrichum gloeosporioides
Lineage: Eukaryota; Fungi; Ascomycota; Sordariomycetes; Glomerellales; Glomerellaceae
Description: partial 18S ribosomal RNA
Rfam family: 5.8S ribosomal RNA (bases 185-338)
Source: RNAcentral
GAGGGAUCAUUACUGAGUUUACGCUCUACAACCCUUUGUGAACAUACCUAUAACUGUUGCUUCGGCGGGUAGGGUCUCCGUGACCCUCCCGGCCUCCCGCCCCCGGGCGGGUCGGCGCCCGCCGGAGGAUAACCAAACUCUGAUUUAACGACGUUUCUUCUGAGUGGUACAAGCAAAUAAUCAAAACUUUUAACAACGGAUCUCUUGGUUCUGGCAUCGAUGAAGAACGCAGCGAAAUGCGAUAAGUAAUGUGAAUUGCAGAAUUCAGUGAAUCAUCGAAUCUUUGAACGCACAUUGCGCCCGCCAGCAUUCUGGCGGGCAUGCCUGUUCGAGCGUCAUUUCAACCCUCAAGCUCUGCUUGGUGUUGGGGCCCUACAGCUGAUGUAGGCCCUCAAAGGUAGUGGCGGACCCUCCCGGAGCCUCCUUUGCGUAGUAACUUUACGUCUCGCACUGGGAUCCGGAGGGACUCUUGCCGUAAAACCCCCCAAUUUUCCAAAGGUUGACCUCGGAUCAGGUAGGAAUACCCGCUGAACUUAAGC